Molecule: long non-coding RNA, 692 nt
Filed under: Marmota monax (woodchuck)
Lineage: Eukaryota; Metazoa; Chordata; Mammalia; Rodentia; Sciuridae
Source: RNAcentral
UGAAAUGAGCUGCUUCAAUCCUACACAAAGUUAAUCCUUUUGGAAAAAACAGAAACUUCUCCAAAAUUUAUGCUGAGAUAAUGCGCCAAGGUCAAAGUGUCCUCAUGUUAAAUAAAAGAGGUGAAUGUUGGACACUUGACUCCUGGGACACCAGCAUUAAUGCCCACACUUAAAAUAUACAUUGUUGUGAGGAUUUAGAAUAAAGAGAAAGAAAAAAAAAAAAACCUCGAGCAUUUUGUGUAAUUCGAUAGCAUAUUCCUAUUCGUGGAUAUGGUUUCAAUAUAAAAAUUGUGGGGGAAAAAAAACUUGAGAGAAGUCUACUCCCACCCCUGGUCCUCCCUUCCUGUUCUCAGCCAGCCUUUGUUGUGUACUGGUGGACUGUGGUCAGGAUGGGUUGUGUGGCAUCGGGGGAGUAUGCAGUGCUGCCAGCUACUGGCAUAGGCCUCUCUGUGCAGGGGGCACAGCGCAAACACCCCCUAGAUAAAGGUGGGCAUGACGGCUUUCCCACAGCCUGCUCAGUAGAGUGUGUCAAUCUCUCAGAUGAAUCCCUGCCAACGCCUUUCCCUCUUAAAGGCACAAAUGAAUGUGGCUGUCAUUUGCAUGCAGGAACCAUGACUUAGUUGUCACUGCAUCCAGGAGCUGUUGAAGUGACCUAAUUUCAAGUCAUUUUUAAUUCAGAGAUGAUCUCUAAC